CACGAACGAGUGGGAAGCACUCUUUGCCGUAAACCGUUAGAUAGCGUUCCAACGCCGGGCAUUCAAAUUUUGAUUAAUUAAUUUGACCGUUAAUAUUGGGGCGGUCUCCAAUACUGGGAGUAGAGAGAACACAGUUGAGUUGAAGGUAGAAGAAAUAUUUAGAGAGAGAGAGAGAGUGCCGACUGGGUUAGAAACCAGAAUCGAUCACUGAAUUACAGUAUUCGAGAUGUUUUUGGCCAUAAUUAAUCACGAAGAAGAAGAGGAAAAAGAAGGAAUCGGCACUAAAUUACUGUAUUAGAGGUGUUGUUUAAUUGGGUUUCUUCCAGAAUGAAUUACCCAAAGGAAGAAGAGGUAUUGUCUUUUUUUUCCCGAGUAAUUUCUACUUUCAGUUGAUGGUACUGUUUAAUUUGGGUUUAAUUGGGUUUCUUCCACGAUUUCUUGUCAAUUUGAGUUUCUUCUUUGUGUUUCUUGUCUAAUUUGGGUUUAAUUUGGUUCUUCAGAAUCUUCACUGAAUUACCCAAAGAAAUAAAAAGGUUUUUCGAUUGUUUGAGUAAUUUCUACUUUAUUCGUACUGUAUAAUUUGGGUUCGAUUGUGUUUCUUCCACGAUUUCUUGUCAAUUUGGAUUUCUUCUAUGUGUUUCUUGUCUAAUUUAGGUUUAAUUGUUUUUCUUCAGAAUGGUCACUUUAUUACCCAAAAGAAGAAAGGGUUUUUCGAUUAUCUUAGUAAUUUUUACUCUGUGUAUCCUUACAGUUUAAUUUGGGUUUCUUCUAUGAUUUCUUGUCUAAUUUUUGAUGGUACUGUUUAAUUCUUGAUUUUCUCUGUGUGUUUUGUGGAUUUUUUUAUGAUUGCUAUUAAUAAUUUGUAUUGUUUGUGGCUUACAUUGAAUAGAUAUUUUCUUUACAUAUGAUUUCUGUCUAAUUGGGGUUUUCCCUUGAUUUCUUGUCUAAUUGGGUUUUUGUUAGUUUUGUCUGUCACUUUGAGUAUGAGUUUCACUCUCUUUUCUUUCCGAGUCUACUUGACUUUUUUAUUUAUUAAUGUUGUUCUGUUUGGAAACACCAUUAUCAGAAUCUCUCUCUAAAAAGGAAAAAAAUGAUGUUGUACUAAUCCUAUAUAUACAUACAUGUAAUGUUUAUAUAUCAGGGUUUGGUGUCUACAGAUCUUGAUUUGCAGUGCAGAUCUAGUGCUUUAGGGGUUCAACAUUUGCUCACGAAUGGCUACUCCCUUUUGCUUUCCUGUCACUGCUGUGCAUAUAUGUACCUCUCUAUCUCUCUUCUGAUAUAUAUAUAUAUAUAUAUGAAUGAUCCAAAGCAUCUAUUUGCUAUGGAUCAAAAAGUGGCAUAUAGCAUCUAUACCGUAGCUUUAACAAAUGAUGGAAAAAAUGACUAUAUAUGUUGUUCACUAGUUUGAAGAAUCAUUACUUGUAUCCUAAUUAAUGCAUGCUGAAUCUAUUCCAGUAAUGUUUCCUUCACAGGCUAAAGGGAAGAAGAGAGAUAUUGCAGUAAUGUUCACAGGCUAAAGGGAAGAAGAGAGAUAUUGCAGGUUAAAGGCUAAAGGGCUGAAUCUAUUCCAGUAAUGUUCUCAUUGCACGAUCAUAUUGCAUUUGAUGCCCGUAUAUGACAAGCACAUGGUAAUGAAUGAAUACACAAAUUCUUUGUAUAGAUCUUGUUCUUUGAAUUCAUAGCUAAAUUAUGUUAAUCAAUGUUUAUUUUAAAAAUGGAAACUUGAAAUUCCUUUCUGCUUGUUGAGCGGAUAGUUAAGAGUUUGUGGAUAUAAUAAUAAUGAAUGAUUUGUCUUCUGAAAUUAUAUAUUUUGAGAUUUCAUGCAAAACUAUUUUAGGAGGUGAAGUGUUUUGUGCUUGAUUUUCUGUCUUGUGUUUUAUUUACAAUUAAUCCCGGCCAUGCCUUAAAAAUAAAGAGAAUUCAUAUGAGAUACUAUUUCAUAGAACUAAAUGUGUACAAUUUGGGAUGUAGAAAUUGUAAUGUAGCUGUUUUGUGUUGGUCAGCACAGUAGCUUUUGACAGAUAGGUAAAUCAUCCUUGCUGUGUUGCUGAUGUCUGGUUUUGAGCAUACAGGAUUGAAUUUAUAGAAGAUGACAACUUAGAGGAUGCUUGGACAGUUUUCCUAAGGUAUCGCUACUGGGCCAGUUUGAUAUAAGAUUCUGCUGCCAUCUACUUUUUUGAUGCAGGGUGUUAUGCUCAUUGUGUUUCCUAACUUGCCUCAAAGUUAUGUUUUCAUGCUGAGUUUAACUUUUUUUUGAAGUUCCAUUUUUGAGCUUUUAACGGAAGAUCGCAGACUGAGUACCUGCUUUAAAUUGCCUCACUUUUUAACUUCAGCAGUUUUUAUUCAUGAUUCUUUGGAUCUUAGUUUGAUCAAUAUAUUACAUAUAGUUCUAAUUGUUUAAUCUAAGUUUUUAUAUCUAAUUUUCUUUAAAGGUAUCUUUAUCUUCCAUUUAGUUGAUUAUAUUAUAAUAAGAAUCUAUCUACAGUAACAAAGAAAUAACUAUAUAUCAAAUUAAAUACAUAAAGCAGUAAAAUUAGCACAAAGUUGUAUGGACUGGAAUGCUUAGGUGUCAUUUGUGCAAAAAAUUUAGCCCAAAUUCUGCAAUUUUAGAUAUGAAAUAACAAGUGACAACAGGAUGGGGCCUAUGGUAAGGCGUUCAGUAUUGUUGUGAAUCUUAAUUACCAUGACUGAUAUUCACUGGACUGACCACCAAUAAAGCUAACAAAUUUUCUGUGAAUUUAACAGGCAUGUGCCUUCAAGGACUCUUAUGAGAAAUUCAAGAAAGCAGGAGCUGAGGUUGUUGGUAUUAAGUUGUAUUUGAUUUGGAAUUAUGUUUAGGAUAUAUUUUUGUUGUUGAUUUGGAAUAGGAUUGGUAUAAUUUGUUUUGGAAUUGGAUUUAUUUGAUUUGGAAUAACUUGGUAUUUUAUGUAUUUGAUGUGGAAGAAUUUGGAAUUUGAUGUAUUUGAUUUGAUCUCCUUUGGAAUUUGAUAUUUCAAAUAUGA
This 3002-nucleotide long non-coding RNA is filed under the name Panax ginseng (ginseng). RNAcentral describes it as "long non-coding RNA (PGIN_LNC016700)". Lineage: Eukaryota; Viridiplantae; Streptophyta; Magnoliopsida; Apiales; Araliaceae. The record is from RNAcentral.